RNAcentral lists this ribosomal RNA (253 nucleotides) under uncultured bacterium. RNAcentral describes it as "partial 16S ribosomal RNA". It matches the Rfam family "Bacterial small subunit ribosomal RNA", at positions 524 to 776 of the family's 1533-position model. The record is from RNAcentral.
UACGUAGGGUGCAGGCGUUAAUCGGAAUUACUGGGCGUAAAGCGUGCGCAGGCGGUUUCUUAAGUCAGAUGUGAAAGCCCUGGGCUUAACCUGGGAACUGCGUUUGAAACUGGGAGACUAGAGUGUGGCAGAGGGGGGUGGAAUUCCACGUGUAGCAGUGAAAUGCGUAGAGAUGUGGAGGAAUACCGAUGGCGAAGGCAGCCUCCUGGGCCAACACUGACGCUCAUGCACGAAAGCGUGGGGAGCAAACAGG